This is a long non-coding RNA of Oncorhynchus tshawytscha (Chinook salmon), 2550 nucleotides long. The record is from Ensembl. NCBI's taxonomy places the organism in Eukaryota, Metazoa, Chordata, Actinopteri, Salmoniformes, Salmonidae.
GGAGAACAGGCUGCAUUAGACUAUAUAUUGAGAACAGGCUACAUUAGACUAUAAAUGGAUAACAGGCUAAAUUAGACCAUAUAUAGAUAACAGGCUACAUUAGAUUAAUUAUGCAUAACAGUCUACAUUAGAUUAUGUAUGGAUAACAGGCUACAUUAGACUAUAUAUGAAUAACAGGCUACAAUAGACUAUAUGGAUAACAUGCUACAUUAGACUAUACAUGGAUUACAGGCUACAUUAGACUAUAUAUAGAUAACAGGUGUUGUAGAAAAGGCCCAUGAAGUUGGUGGAAUAAUCCUUUAGUUCAUUGCCAUUUACUCAGCUGGGCCAGGGGCGCUUUAAUUAGGUCAGGUGGAAAUGUCCGUCAGAUCUCAACUCCAUAAAAGGAGGAAAUUGCAUCGCCUGAUCUCGCUGCUUUCUCUUCCUUAACUCCGUCUGAUCCAGAAGUUCUGUGCGUCCGUGAAUCCACCACAGACUACUCAGUAAAUAUACCACUUUAUGGUUAAAGGAAAUCCUGCCUCAGUCUCAUCCAUUCCUCUGUCACCUGACAUGUGACCACCUGUUCACCUUCACUGUCAGUCAUCCUACCUGUCCAGCUACCCACACAGAUUUCACUUAUCUUUCAAUGGUCCUUCGAGCCGGAUGUUGACUGAACCAAAGACAGGUGAAAAGGAAAUGGAGGCGGAGAGGGAAGAAUUGUCUCCACUGGAAGAAAGAAGAGAGGAGGAGAGAACAGCAUGAGGGUAAGGUCUUGGAACAAAAUAAAUAUCCAGGAGCUAAGCCUAAAGCAACAAAGGCUUCAUCCUCAACCACCAGCAGCACCAGAAGAACCAGGCAAGCACCUGGUUAUCUUAAGGAUUAUGUGGUCAAGUUUCCGACUUCAAAGGGCAAGCCCACCAGAGCUCAAAGUGGUGAUGGAUCAACUGUACGUUUCAGCCAUCAACCAUCCCCUUUGAGCCAAGGACCGGAAACUGCUUUGGAGCAGGAAAGUGGACUACAGGAAGAACCCAUGAAGGUGACUCCCACAGCACAGGUCAACCAGCUUCCUGAAGCAGGCUCCGCUCACCCCUUAACUAAUGGGAAAUCGUCGAAGCACUCUAGACGGAGUGGGAGUUCGACCAGUGGGUACCCCUUUGGAAGUGGUCAUGGCAGCCGCCAUUCACUAGCCCUCAGCGAUUCACCGACCACUGUUCUACAAGAGAGGAUGAAACUAUUAGCUUUGGAGGAAAUUGAGCGUCAUAUUGAGGAGGAACGACAGGCUGACGAAGGAUGUCACCAAUUGGAUGUGCAGGCCCGUAGAGCUCUACAGGAACGGGAAUUCAUUGCCAAGGACCUGGCACAGCAGCGACGGCACCGUCAAGCCAGAAGGGAAUUGGAGGAGGCACGGAUGGUCUCAUCCUUCCUGGAGAGGAACGAACAGGGAGUUGACCUGACCACCCCUCUACAUGGACCUGACCUGUCUACCUUUCUUUCCCAAUCUGCCCCUCUGGUACCGCAUGGCACACAGUCCCCGGAGGCUCCGGGGUCAACAGCUAACAUGGAGCAUGGGGACAGUCUGCUCCACCAUCGCCCUCUAUGCCAGUGACACAAGUUAGCAUUCCUCCAUCUGGACAAAUCAUUACUCCUUCGCCUUUCCGGCAAAUUGUUCCUCUCGUACAGGGCCAGGCCAGUCCUCAAAUAUCAGAUGGGAGGGCUCUCACCCAAUUCCAGCUGCCACCAUUGGAGGGUCUGGGACAGUAGGGGACCGGCCCAAUGAGGCCACAGUGGGCUCAUCAGAAGUCCCGGAUUUCUCCUUCACGCACUCAGAAGAGGGAGCGAACAUUAUGAAUCUUCUAGUAGCCUCAGCCUAUGGAAUUCCCAGACCCAAACUGCCAUACUUUGAGAGAGGAAAGGAAUUGAAUUUGUCCUUUUGGAAAUGGCAUUGGAGAGCCUACUGGGUAUUCUCAGUCAUCUGUCAGAACGCUACAAAUACCAAGUACUAAUGGACCAUUUGCGGUUUCCCAGUGCAUAUAGGCUGGCCCAAUCCUUUAUGCACUCCGCUACACCAUACACUGCUGCUCUCCAGGUCCCGAAGCCCAGAUAUGGUGAGCCACACCAGCUAGUCCAGAAUGAACUAAACAACAUCCUGAACACGUCUCCAAUUAAAAUGGGAGACCAUGCUGCCUUCCAAGAGUUCUCCCUGGCUGUCCAAUCCCUGACCUCAAUGCUCCAAUCCGUUGAAGGAGAAGACGGGAACGAGCUGAAAUGUGGCUCCCACGUGGACAGGCUUCUUAGCAAAUUUCCAGUGUACCUCAAAGACAGUUUAAUGGAAAAUUGUUUGAACAAGGGCAUCCUGAGAGAGGGCUCGAGAAGCACCUAUGCUCUCAGAGACCUUGCCGCAUUGUUGGAGGUGAAGGCAAAGGUGAAGAGCAUCGCUCACCAGGCCACAAUCUCAGCCAUAGCCACUGGGGAAGGAAGGAGUUUUUAAAAAAAAAAAAAUUUUUAUUUUUUUAUUUCACCUUUAUUUAACCAGGUAGGCCAGUUGAGAACAAGUUCUCAUUUGCAACUGCG